This 73-nucleotide transfer RNA is filed under the name Orenia marismortui. It matches the Rfam family "tRNA". Rfam says of the family: Transfer RNA (tRNA) molecules are approximately 80 nucleotides in length. Lineage: Bacteria; Bacillati; Bacillota; Clostridia; Halanaerobiales; Halobacteroidaceae. The record is from Rfam by way of RNAcentral.
GGGUCAUUAGCUCAGUUGGCAGAGCACCUGACUCUUAAUCAGGGGGUCGCAGGUUCGAACCCUGCAUGACCUA